Molecule: long non-coding RNA, 330 nt
Organism: Alosa sapidissima (American shad)
Lineage: Eukaryota; Metazoa; Chordata; Actinopteri; Clupeiformes; Clupeidae
Exons: 5
Source: RefSeq, a predicted model, not a curated record
AUGGUAUGGACUGCAGAGGAGACUUCGAGCCACUGUCGGUCCAUUUAAAUUGUUUGACACUUCACUUCAUUCACUGAAGGACAAUGGUUGGCUGACCGAUGAGGUGAUCGAUGCUUACCUGCAUCACUCACUGAAAAAGCAGCAAAGACCGGUAUUCCACCUGAAUGUUGUGGAAACAACACUUUUCCAGGGGCAGCAUGGACGACUUAAGAAGAUGCAAUUCCCUGUGGAGGACAUGUGGGUGUGUCCAGUGAAUACAGGGGCCCACUGGAUUCUUGUUAUUGUUGACAUGUCCAGGAAAACUCUUAACCUCAUUGACCCUCUUGGAAA